GAUGAACGCUGGCGGCGUGCCUAAUACAUGCAAGUCGAGCGAACGGACGAGAAGCUUGCUUCUCUGAUGUUAGCGGCGGACGGGUGAGUAACACGUGGAUAACCUACCUAUAAGACUGGGAUAACUUCGGGAAACCGGAGCUAAUACCGGAUAAUAUUUUGAACCGCAUGGUUCAAAAGUGAAAGACGGUCUUGCUGUCACUUAUAGAUGGAUCCGCGCUGCAUUAGCUAGUUGGUAAGGUAACGGCUUACCAAGGCAACGAUGCAUAGCCGACCUGAGAGGGUGAUCGGGCACACUGGAACUGAGACACGGUCCAGACUCCUACGGGAGGCAGCAGUAGGGAAUCUUCCGCAAUGGGCGAAAGCCUGACGGAGCAACGCCGCGUGAGGGAUGAAGGUCUUCGGAUCGUAAAACUCUGUUAUUAGGGAAGAACAUAUGUGUAAGUAACUGUGCACAUCUUGACGGUACCUAAUCAGAAAGCCACGGCUAACUACGUG
Molecule: ribosomal RNA, 497 nt
Filed under: uncultured bacterium
Lineage: Bacteria
Description: partial 16S ribosomal RNA
Rfam family: Bacterial small subunit ribosomal RNA
Source: RNAcentral